UUGGAUAUAUAACUUAGCAUAAUCCUCAGCUGUAUAAGGCAUGUGAACUAUCAAGAAAUGUUCUAAAUUAGUAAAUCUGUCUAUAAUAACCCAAAUUGAAUCAUGAUGACGAUGCGAAUGGGGUAAACCAGUCUCAAAAUCCACAUUAACCUCUUCCAACUUCUAAGUGGGGAUACCAAACUCUUCCAACGUACUACCAGGUCUUUGGUGUUCUACCUUA
RNAcentral lists this long non-coding RNA (220 nucleotides) under Capsicum annuum. RNAcentral's name for it is "long non-coding RNA (CANN_LNC017491)". Lineage: Eukaryota; Viridiplantae; Streptophyta; Magnoliopsida; Solanales; Solanaceae. The record is from RNAcentral.